This 201-nucleotide long non-coding RNA is filed under the name Mytilus galloprovincialis (Mediterranean mussel). The record is from RNAcentral. Lineage: Eukaryota; Metazoa; Mollusca; Bivalvia; Mytilida; Mytilidae.
UAAUUAAAAUUUUAAAAUACACGUAUUCCGAAAUGUAUAUAUAAAAAUAACAACUGCACUCGUUGGAACUAUUUUGUAUAUAACUCUACAGAGGUAUCCAAUAUGACAAUAGCGAGUAAUCAUUUUCAAAGUGUUAAAAUGGAUUUAUUUAAACGAAAUUACAUAAACCCUCGAGGUUUCUGUAAUAAGAUAAAAACGUGG